CAGGGUGUAGUUAAGCUAUAAUAUCUCCCUUACACCGAGAAGACAUCUGUGAAAACCAGGUCAUCCUGA
RNAcentral lists this transfer RNA (69 nucleotides) under Gerres filamentosus (whipfin silverbiddy). RNAcentral's name for it is "tRNA-Val". It matches the Rfam family "tRNA". Rfam says of the family: Transfer RNA (tRNA) molecules are approximately 80 nucleotides in length. Their secondary structure includes four short double-helical elements and three loops (D, anti-codon, and T loops). Further hydrogen bonds mediate the characteristic L-shaped molecular structure. tRNAs have two regions of fundamental functional importance: the anti-codon, which is responsible for specific mRNA codon recognition, and the 3' end, to which the tRNAs corresponding amino acid is attached (by aminoacyl-tRNA synthetases). tRNAs cope with the degeneracy of the genetic code in two manners: having more than one tRNA (with a specific anti-codon) for a particular amino acid; and 'wobble' base-pairing, i.e. permitting non-standard base-pairing at the 3rd anti-codon position. The record is from RNAcentral. Lineage: Eukaryota; Metazoa; Chordata; Actinopteri; Gerreiformes; Gerreidae.